GAGCACUGUUUCGGCAAGGGGGUCAUCCCGACUUACCAACCCGAUGCAAACUGCGAAUACCGGAGAAUGUUAUCACGGGAGACACACGGCGGGUGCUAACGUCCGUCGUGAAGAGGGAAACAACCCAGACCGCCAGCUAAGGUCCCAAAGUCAUGGUUAAGUGGGAAACGAUGUGGGAAGGCCCAGACAGCCAGGAUGUUGGCUUAGAAGCAGCCAUCAUUUAAAGAAAGCGUAAUAGCUCACUGGUCGAGUCGGCCUGCGCGGAAGAUGUAACGGGGCUAAACCAUGCACCGAAGCUGCGGCAGCGACGCUUAUGCGUUGUUGGGUAGGGGAGCGUUCUGUAAGCCUGUGAAGGUGUGCUGUGAGGCAUGCUGGAGGUAUCAGAAGUGCGAAUGCUGACAUAAGUAACGAUAAAGCGGGUGAAAAGCCCGCUCGCCGGAAGACCAAGGGUUCCUGUCCAACGUUAAUCGGGGCAGGGUGAGUCGACCCCUAAGGCGAGGCCGAAAGGCGUAGUCGAUGGGAAACAGGUUAAUAUUCCUGUACUUGGUGUUACUGCGAAGGGGGGACGGAGAAGGCUAUGUUGGCCGGGCGACGGUUGUCCCGGUUUAAGCGUGUAGGCUGGUUUUCCAGGCAAAUCCGGAAAAUCAAGGCUGAGGCGUGAUGACGAGGCACUACGGUGCUGAAGCAACAAAUGCCCUGCUUCCAGGAAAAGCCUCUAAGCAUCAGGUAACAUCAAAUCGUACCCCAAACCGACACAGGUGGUCAGGUAGAGAAUACCAAGGCGCUUGAGAGAACUCGGGUGAAGGAACUAGGCAAAAUGGUGCCGUAACUUCGGGAGAAGGCACGCUGAUAUGUAGGUGAAGUCCCUCGCGGAUGGAGCUGAAAUCAGUCGAAGAUACCAGCUGGCUGCAACUGUUUAUUAAAAACACAGCACUGUGCAAACACGAAAGUGGACGUAUACGGUGUGACGCCUGCCCGGUGCCGGAAGGUUAAUUGAUGGGGUCAGCGCAAGCGAAGCUCUUGAUCGAAGCCCCGGUAAACGGCGGCCGUAACUAUAACGGUCCUAAGGUAGCGAAAUUCCUUGUCGGGUAAGUUCCGACCUGCACGAAUGGCGUAAUGAUGGCCAGGCUGUCUCCACCCGAGACUCAGUGAAAUUGAACUCGCUGUGAAGAUGCAGUGUACCCGCGGCAAGACGGAAAGACCCCGUGAACCUUUACUAUAGCUUGACACUGAACAUUGAGCCUUGAUG
RNAcentral lists this ribosomal RNA (1249 nucleotides) under Escherichia coli. RNAcentral's name for it is "partial 23S ribosomal RNA". It matches the Rfam family "Bacterial large subunit ribosomal RNA", at positions 905 to 2136 of the family's 2925-position model. The record is from RNAcentral. Lineage: Bacteria; Pseudomonadati; Pseudomonadota; Gammaproteobacteria; Enterobacterales; Enterobacteriaceae.